GAGUUUUGAUCAUGGCUCAGGAUGAACGCUAGCUACAGGCUUAACACAUGCAAGUCGAGGGGAAACGAUAUUGGAAGCUUGCUUCCGAUAGGCGUCGACCGGCGCACGGGUGAGUAACGCGUAUCCAACCUGCCCACCACUUGGGGAUAACCUUGCGAAAGUAAGACUAAUACCCAAUGAUAUCUCUAGAAGACAUCUGAAAGAGAUUAAAGAUUUAUCGGUGAUGGAUGGGGAUGCGUCUGAUUAGCUUGUUGGCGGGGUAACGGCCCACCAAGGCAACGAUCAGUAGGGGUUCUGAGAGGAAGGUCCCCCACAUUGGAACUGAGACACGGUCCAAACUCCUACGGGAGGAGCA
Molecule: ribosomal RNA, 355 nt
Filed under: uncultured bacterium
Lineage: Bacteria
Description: bacterial SSU rRNA
Rfam family: Bacterial small subunit ribosomal RNA
Source: RNAcentral